Molecule: long non-coding RNA, 222 nt
Filed under: Phoenix dactylifera (date palm)
Lineage: Eukaryota; Viridiplantae; Streptophyta; Magnoliopsida; Arecales; Arecaceae
Description: long non-coding RNA (PDAC_LNC005508)
Source: RNAcentral
GUUGAAAUUGAGUCGAAGGACGGUAGGGAUGAAUAUUUUGUGGGGUUUGAAAAUUCUGAGGGUUUUGAAAAUUUUGGAAGUAGGGUUGGGCAGUAUUCGAAGCUUGCUGCUUCCAAAAAAAGUUUGGAUGGUUGCGCCAUCCCGGGUUAUAUGUAUUGAAAAAUGGGUCAUUACCUGGUCUGGGCUGUGUUUGAGCAGCAUUGAUGUGUUCUUGCACGAGUU